UACAGAGGUCUCGAGCGUUGUUCGGAUUCAUUGGGCGUAAAGGGCGCGUAGGCGGCGGGGUAAGUCGGGUGUGAAAUCUCAGGGCUCAACCCUGAAACUGCACUUGAUACUGCUCUGCUUGAGGACUGGAGAGGAGACUGGAAUUCACGGUGUAGCAGUGAAAUGCGUAGAUAUCGUGAGGAAGACCAGUGGCGAAGGCGGGUCUCUGGACAGUUCCUGACGCUGAGGCGCGAAGGCCAGGGGAGCAAACGGG
Molecule: ribosomal RNA, 253 nt
Filed under: uncultured bacterium
Lineage: Bacteria
Description: partial 16S ribosomal RNA
Rfam family: Bacterial small subunit ribosomal RNA
Source: RNAcentral